Molecule: long non-coding RNA, 1262 nt
Filed under: Marmota monax (woodchuck)
Lineage: Eukaryota; Metazoa; Chordata; Mammalia; Rodentia; Sciuridae
Source: RNAcentral
CUCACGUCAAGAUCUUUCCCAGACUGAAAAGCACCUUGGGCCUUCUCUGCUGACUCUUCUACUUAUAUUAAGGAAUUCUGAUACCUCUCCCGGACUUACACUCUUACCUGGCAUGACGUCUAUGUCCUUCUGUCCUCCCCCUUACCCCUCAUGAGUGAGCCCACAUCCAGCAGCCUGCAUAAGAUCAUCCUGAUUAAAUUUGUUUAACAGAUAUGACUCUCCCCACAGGUGAAGCAGCCAUUCCCCUAACCGAACCCAACUGGGACUAUCAAGAUGGCCAACUAGGUCGCCGACCUUAUAGCAGCAAUGCAGGCAGUGGUUAACCUUGAUAAGCUGAGAGAAAUCACAGAGGAUCCAGAUGAGAGCCUUAUUUCUCAACCGCCUUAUGGAGGCCCUCACCAAAUAUACUAAACUGGAUCCUGAGACUCCCUCUGGGGCUACAGUGUGAGCAACCCAUUUCAUUAUUACUCAAUCGGCCCAUGAUAUUAGAAAAAAGCUCAAACGAGCUGAAGAGGGCCUUCAGUCCCCUAUCUGAGAUCUGUAAAGAUGGCCUUUAAAGUUUAUCAUGUCCGGAAGGAGUCAGCUGAACUAGCCAAGUAGGCUCCAUUGCAGAAAAAGGUAACACUCCAAACCCAGGCCUUGGCAGCGACCCUGAGGCCUAUGGCUCAAGCAAGAGCUCCACAGGGGACCCAGCAUUCCUCUCCACCAGGGGGGCUUGCUUCAAAUGUGGAUGCGAAGGUCACUGGGCUCGCUAAUACCUAAACCCAAGGCCUCCUUCCAGGCCACGCCUCACUUGUUAGUAGACAGGACAUUGGAAGAGUGACUGCCCCAUGGCUGGCCCUUCCUUGGUGCCUCCAUGUGGGGGUAUGACCAGCCAGGCAGUCCCUUCUCUUGAACUAUUGGGGCUCACAGAAGACUGAAGAAGCCCGACUCAAGGACCCCCAUCACCCUCACCAAGCCCAAGUUAAUGCUCCAGGUAGCGGGUAUCCAUAAAUUUCCUGUGGACACGGGAGCUACCUAUUCUGUCUUGUUCACCCACUCUGGGCCUCUGUUUCAUUCCCAGGUCUCAGUUAUGGAGAUUGACGGCAAACCCUCCUCCCCAAACCGAACUACUAAGCUGGCCUGUACCCUUUCACACACUCUUUUCUGGUCGUUCCAUCCUAUCCGGUUCCUCUCCUAGGCAGAGAUGUUCUCCAAUUACUAGGAGCCACCCUCCAACUACACCCCAAGAAUACUACUAUCUAUCUCUUUCUGUCUCUAAU